GUGAUGUUCUCCAGCAUCACCCAUUAGUGAAACUAACAAACACAAUGGUGGUGUUGUUAUUCUUUUUGCCAUAAGCAAAAAGAGCUCUGUGUGUGGGCAGUGUAGUAGGGAGAAGUCGAGGUUAUUUUUGUUCCGUUCAGGGUUUUUCCUCCUAUUUGCAUGACUUGAGCAAAUUAAAUGAUGCAAUAUGGCUUUUUGUCACAACACAAAGUGAGAUACCACCCAGCCGCCUAUGUCGAUUCGUUGGGAGCGGUUUACAUGAGAAUAUGGCGAAUUCUACCGUGAACUCCACGUAGCCUAUGAAGACUGUGUUAAAGAUUUAUCCAUGCAGUUAAACAUGACGAUAAUCAUUUGUCUAUAAUGGGCAUCUGCGUAGGAUAUGUACAGUAAACGCGCACAUUCUGUGCAGGAACUGAUUGGAAAUAAGAAAAACAUAACAUGCAACAUUGUUGCAGAAUACAUUGUAAGUGCGCUGACAAACAUGCCACACGUGCGCAUAACUGUGGCGUGUGACUCAAAUAAUAACUUAGUAGAAUUUAACGAUAGUGAACGGUGCUGACUCACUGCGCUCCUGUGGUGUUAUUUUGUAGCGCUGGGAUGAACGUAAAAGGUUAUAACAUAACCAUGGUAACACGGUAACGCUUUGGACACGCUCGAGACCAACAAUCAGGAGGCUUAUAUCAUUUCAACACUUUUAAACAACAUAGUUAGCUGAUAAAUCAUGUUCAUUUGUUUUUACAGUUUUAUGGAUUUUCUACAUAUUUAAUGUGACUGAUAAAGAAACCUCAAAAACAGCCUGGAGUAGCAGGACAACGCCAGAAUUUCGCGCGAGAAGAGGAGCGAGCACAGUGACGUAAGACAGCACGAGAGCGCGCACUUGGCUGUACACUACGGUGGAACGGAACGACGAAUACCUGGCUGUCAGCACUGGACGGGCUGUCGUCAGUGAUAGCCUACAGAAGAAUUGAAGAGAGAGAGGCAGGCGCCUGGCCCUCAGUGAGUGUCUUCACCCCGAGGAUCAGGAACCCCCCCCCCACUGUUGACACUGAUACCUC
Non-coding RNA from Salmo salar (Atlantic salmon), 1055 nucleotides. The record is from RefSeq and is a predicted model, not a curated record. NCBI's taxonomy places the organism in Eukaryota, Metazoa, Chordata, Actinopteri, Salmoniformes, Salmonidae.